RNAcentral lists this long non-coding RNA (325 nucleotides) under Nicotiana benthamiana. RNAcentral's name for it is "long non-coding RNA (NBEN_LNC024864)". The record is from RNAcentral. Lineage: Eukaryota; Viridiplantae; Streptophyta; Magnoliopsida; Solanales; Solanaceae.
UUGAUUGAUAAUCUUUUUGGACCAAAUUUAUUUAAAAUUCAAUCUUCAUUUUCUGAAAUUAUUUUUAAUUCCCGCGGGAAAAAUAUUAAUUUGUAAAUUUUUCAGAAAAAGGCAUGGCCUUUCCCGAGCAGGCACAAAGCCUUUCCGAACAGUCACAAUUCGAGGCUAUAUAAACUCAUUUUCGAGUACUGAAAAAAAAAAAUUAUUCGUGCAUUAAAAAUUCUACAUUCUUUUCUGCAAACUGAAACAUAUCGAGUCAUAGUGUGAUUUCGUUCCCGAAUUUGAGUUCGUCGAAGUCGUAGGCGUUUGAGGUACCGCCACUCCU